GUCUACGCCCCUACCACCCUGAACGCGCCCGAUCUCCUCUGAUCUUGGAAGCUAAGCAGGGUCGGGCCUGGUUAGUACUUGGAUGGCAGAUU
RNAcentral lists this ribosomal RNA (92 nucleotides) under Prolemur simus (greater bamboo lemur). The record is from RNAcentral. Lineage: Eukaryota; Metazoa; Chordata; Mammalia; Primates; Lemuridae.